CAAUAGCGUAUAUUAAAGUUGUUGCAGUUAAAAAGCUCGUAGUUGGAUUUCUGGUGGGAGCGAUCGGUCUGGCGCUUAGCGCGAGUACUUGCAUCGUCUCCGGCCAUCCUUGGGGAGAGUCUGUCUGGCAUUAGGUUGUCGGGCAGAGGAUCCUCAUCGUUUACUGUGAAAAAAUUAGAGUGUUCAAAGCAGGCUUAUGCCGUUGAAUAUAUUAGCAUGGAAUAAUAAGAUAGGACUUUGGCACUAUUUUGUUGGUUUGCGCACCAAAGUAAUGAUUAAUAGGGACAGUUGGGGGUAUUCGUAUUCCGUUGUCAGAGGUGAAAUUCUUGGAUUUACGGAAGACGAACUACUGCGAAAGCAUUUACCAAGGAUGUUUUCAUUAA
This 383-nucleotide ribosomal RNA is filed under the name uncultured eukaryote. RNAcentral describes it as "partial 18S ribosomal RNA". It matches the Rfam family "Eukaryotic small subunit ribosomal RNA", at positions 592 to 976 of the family's 1831-position model. The record is from RNAcentral.